CAGUAGCCGCGGGAAUACGAAGGGGGCUAGCGUUGUUCGGAAUUACUGGGCGUAAAGCGCACGUAGGCGGGUAUUUAAGUCAGGGGUGAAAUCCCAGAGCUCAACUCUGGAAUUGCCUUUGAUACUGGGUAUCUUGAGUAUGGAAGAGGUGAGUGGAAUUCUGAGUGUAGAGGUGAAAUUCGUAGAUAUUCGGAGGAACACCAGUGGCGAAGGCGGCUCACUGGUCCAUUACUGACGCUGAGGUGCGAAAGCGUGGGGAGCAAACAGGAUUAGAUACCCCCGUAGUCCCUGUCUCUUAUAC
RNAcentral lists this ribosomal RNA (301 nucleotides) under uncultured bacterium. RNAcentral describes it as "partial 16S ribosomal RNA". It matches the Rfam family "Bacterial small subunit ribosomal RNA", at positions 509 to 807 of the family's 1533-position model. The record is from RNAcentral.